Lutra lutra (Eurasian river otter) is the source of this 1788-nucleotide long non-coding RNA. RefSeq lists it as uncharacterized. The transcript is spliced from 4 exons. The record is from RefSeq and is a predicted model, not a curated record. Lineage: Eukaryota; Metazoa; Chordata; Mammalia; Carnivora; Mustelidae.
CUGGACGGGAGAAGACAGCUGCCUGGUGGGGACACCUUGGUAUACCGCCCUCUGGGCUUCCCUGAAAAGAAGGCUACCGGACAAAGAGGGGUGGGGGAAAGAAGAAUGUAAAGACAACACUGGAGCCAAAGGCUAAGCAGCAGACUCAGGUGGAGGAGCCGAUCUGAUGGGGAGAGGCCUUAUCGAUCCACUACACAAAUGGACGGCUACCAUUUGUUGCAUUCCUCAACCGUGCCUGCAUUUACAUAAUUCUAACAACCCUGAGAGUGCUCCCUUUCAAGAACUGCCUCGGGGUUCCUGUUGCAGCAUCAGACAAGAAUGGAAGACGCAGCUGGGGUUAGCAGUGGGAGCCUGUAAAGCCUGAGUCCCUGGGGGCGCAGGGCAUACAGAAUCCUGCACUGAGCCCAGAGCACAACAAGGGGGCCUGGGCCUCACACUUGGAUGGGGAGCAGCAGACAGAUGUGUGGGCCUCAGGGGCAGACACACGGAGAUGGCCAUGCAGAUGUGCCUGAGAGCACACAGAAGCUCACACACACUGGUCGCUUGCACACAUGGCUCCAGCGUGCAUCCAGAGAGCAGCUCUCGUGCACAUAUGAGCAGGUGUACACACACACGGCUGGCAUGUCAACAGACACGCCCAAACACACAAACACCCCAGAGACACACCCAGACAUUUCUGGCAAAGACCAUCAUUUUGUCCUCAGCUUCUUGCCACUGAGAAUCUACUGGUUCCAUCUCUGAAUGUCUCACCUGACUGUCCCUCUUCCCAACCUACCACAGCCCCUGUUCCCUUGAGCCCCCACUGGGCCUCUGGACAACGGCAAUGGUGUCCCGGCUGGGACCCCGCCCCGCAUCCUGGCACACUCUGGUUCAUUGGACACACAGGAGCAGGGGGCCUCUGGGCAUUCAGGCAGAUCUGAUGGCAUCACUCUCCUGCUUUAAAACCCAUCCGAGGCCUCCCCUUUCCCACCAGAGGUAGCUUAGAUCACCUGCAUCACACAUAAGGCCCUUGGCGAUCUGGCUUCCAGUCCGGGGGUGAGCUGGCAUGGAGCGCUGUGCCCUGGGUGCCGCAGCUGUGGGACUCCCUCAGGAAGCUGCCCUGCAUGCCUCACAGGGCUCACUCUUGCUCACACGCCGCGAGAAAUGCCCUCUUCCCCACUGCCCCGGGUUCGGGUGCUAAACCACCACUUGGCCACCCUCCCAGGCCCAGGUCAGUCACGUCUCUCCACUUCACCCUGACCUUCAAGGCUCCACUGUGCUGCCCCACUAUUUCACAGGCCCUUCGUUGGCCUCUCCGGUGUCACUGUCCUCUGUGUGCGACAGCUUCUCCCACAGAACUCCAAGCGGGCUGGUACACAGACCCAAAGGUACUGGUGCUCAACGAGUUUCUGGGUGUGAGUGAGUGAAUGAAUUGGCAUGUGGGCCAUCCGAUCACCCUGGGUGAUCUCGCCUGGCUAGGUGAGCAAGCUCUGGCAUGCGCAUGCGUGGUGACUUCUUGAGCUCCGCCCCCACACCGCUGAAUGGGGGUACUGAGGGCUCCCCACGGUUGAUGGUGCGGGCUCUCGGGUUGUAUGGAGAGAAGAAGGGUGAGUGGCUAACGCGGGGUGGGCGCUCCAUAAAUAAUAGCCGAGCUUGCUGUUGCCAAUUUCUAUUUUUAUUUCCACCGAGGCCUUCCCAUUACUGUUUUCUGAUUCUCAUCCCCCUCGCCAUCCCUUCAGUUGAGUGCUGGGCUCCCAGAAUGGACUCACUUGACGGUUCACCACAGGACGGGUGGACGACGUGGCUUCU